RNAcentral lists this ribosomal RNA (253 nucleotides) under uncultured bacterium. Its description in RNAcentral is "partial 16S ribosomal RNA". It matches the Rfam family "Bacterial small subunit ribosomal RNA", at positions 524 to 776 of the family's 1533-position model. The record is from RNAcentral.
UACGUAGGGUGCGAGCGUUGUUCGGAAUUACUGGGCGUAAAGGGCUCGUAGGCGGCCAACUAAGUCGGAUGUGAAAUCCCCAGGCUCAACCUGGGAACUGCAUCCGAUACUGGAUGGCUUGAAUUCGGGAGAGGGAUGCAGAAUUCCAGGUGUAGCGGUGAAAUGCGUAGAUAUCUGGAGGAAUACCGGUGGCGAAGGCGGCAUCCUGGACCGACAUUGACGCUGAGGAGCGAAAGCCAGGGGAGCAAACGGG